AUGGAGACAGGCCCUCUGCCACUCCACAGCCACCUGCUGUGCUGCCUGGAAGAGGGGGGCAGCUGGUCACAGGCCAGGCCACCCCCGGUGAGUAAAUCAGGUGGACACUUGGACGCUGACCAGAAACGCAUGGCCAAGGCCCCGCCUCUGCAAAUCGUCCUCCAACACCGACAUGAGUUCAGAUCUCUGGAGCCCCUGGCUAUGAACCUGACCCCUCUCUGUGCCACGGCUGAGAACUUCCUCCAGCGGCUGCUGCUGAGCGCGGAGCGAGUGCCAGCUGAUGUCAUCCCGGCCCGUGUCCGGACAAGGCAGGUGGGAAUUCAGAAUGUGACCUUGGCCAACGCACGGGUGUCUCCGAUGCUCGGUGACGACUGGGACAGAGGUGGCAGAGGAGGUGGGCCGCGGGUCCGCGCGGAGUUGCCGUCCGCCGUCAGGUGCUACCCCCACCGCCGAGAUCCGCUGGAGAACCUAGAGGAGGAGGGUGUGCCCAAGAACCCCGACCUGCGCAUCGCGCAGCUGCGCUUCCUGCUCAGCCUGCGGGAGCACCGCGGGGACGCGGCCGUGCGCGACGAGCUGAUGGCGGCCGUCCGGGAUAACAACAUGGCUCCUUAUUACGAAGCCUUGUGCAAAUCCCUCGACUGGCAGAUGGACACGGACCUGCUCAAUAAAAUGAAAAAGGCCAACGAGGAAGAGUUGAAACGUUUGGACGAGGAGCUGGAAGAUGCAGAGAAGAAUCUGGGAGAGAGCGAAAUCCGGGAUGCCAUGAUGGCCAAGGCCGAGUACCUGUGCCGGAUAGGCGACGAGGAGGGUGCUCUGACAGCCUUUCGCAAGACAUAUGACAAAACUGUGGCCUUGGGUCACCGACUGGACAUUGUGUUCUAUCUUCUUAGGAUUGGAUUAUUUUAUAUGGAUAAUGAUCUCAUCACACGAAACACAGAGAAGGCCAAAAGCUUAAUAGAGGAAGGAGGAGAUUGGGACAGGAGAAACCGCCUAAAGGUACGUCAAGGUCUUUACUGUGUGGCUAUUCGUUGAUUUCAAACAGGCAGCUGAACUCUUCCUUGACACAGUUUCAACAUUCACAUCGUAUGAACUUACGGAUUAUAAGACCUUUGUGACUUAUACUGUCUAUGUCAGCAUGAUUGCCUUAGAAAGACCAGAUCUCGGGGAAAAGGUGAUUAAAGGAGCCGAGAUCCUCGAGGUGCUUCAUAGCCUUCCAGCGGUCCGGCAGUACCUGUUUUCACUCUAUGAGUGUCGGUACUCCGUUUUCUUCCAGUCCUUAGCUAUUGUGGAACAGGCAAUGAGAAAGGACUGGCUUUUUGCUCCUCACUAUCGAUACUAUGUAAGAGAAAUGAGAAUUCAUGCUUACAGCCAGCUGCUGGAAUCCUAUAGGUCAUUAACUCUUGGCUAUAUGGCAGAAGCCUUUGGUGUUGGUGUGGAAUUCAUUGAUCAGGAGCUGUCCAGAUUUAUUGCUGCAGGGAGACUACACUGCAAAAUAGAUAAAGUAAAUGAAAGAGUGGAGACCAACAGGCCUGAUAGCAAGAACUGGCAGUACCAAGAAACUAUCAAGAAAGGAGAUCUACUACUAAACAGAGUUCAGAAACUUUCCAGAGUAAUUAAUAUGUAAAACCAUGGAAACAAAGGAUUUCCUUUAGAGAUAACUAUUUGGAAUUUUUAUAGCUUACUUUACUAUGUACCCAGUUCAACUGUAUAAAAUAAAUACUGCAUUGUUAAAAAAAAAAGAAAAAA
Odobenus rosmarus divergens (Pacific walrus) is the source of this 1746-nucleotide RNA transcript. It is a transcript of the gene named 26S proteasome non-ATPase regulatory subunit 6-like, with no coding region annotated. The transcript is spliced from 5 exons. Lineage: Eukaryota; Metazoa; Chordata; Mammalia; Carnivora; Odobenidae. The record is from RefSeq and is a predicted model, not a curated record.